UCGGGAUAGCUCAGUUGGUAGAGCAGAGGACUGAAAAUCCUCGUGUACCGGUUCCAAUUA
RNAcentral lists this transfer RNA (60 nucleotides) under Aletris pauciflora var. khasiana. RNAcentral's name for it is "partial tRNA-Phe". The stretch from base 4 to 55 matches the Rfam family "tRNA", at positions 5 to 66 of the family's 71-position model. Rfam says of the family: Transfer RNA (tRNA) molecules are approximately 80 nucleotides in length. Their secondary structure includes four short double-helical elements and three loops (D, anti-codon, and T loops). The record is from RNAcentral. Lineage: Eukaryota; Viridiplantae; Streptophyta; Magnoliopsida; Dioscoreales; Nartheciaceae.